UGGGGAAUAUUGGACAAUGGGCGAAAGCCUGAUCCAGCCAUGCCGCGUGUGUGAAGAAGGUCUUCGGAUUGUAAAGCACUUUAAGUUGGGAGCAAGGGCAGUAAGCUAAUACCUUGCUGUUUUGACGUUACCGACAGAAUAAGCACCGGCUAACUCUGUGCCAGCAGCCGCGGUAAUACAGAGGGUGCAAACGUUAAUCGGAAUUACUGGACGUAAAGCGCGCGUAGGUGGUUCGUUAAGUUGGAUGUGAAAUCCCCGGGCUCAACCUGGGAACUGCAUCCAAAACUGGCGAGCUAGAGUAUGGUAGAGGGUGGUGGAAUUUACUGUGUAGCGGUGAAAUGCGUAGAUAUAGGAAGGAACGCCAAUGGCGAAGGCGACCACCUGGACUGAUACUGACACUGAGGUGCGAAAGCGUGGGGAGCAAGCAGG
RNAcentral lists this ribosomal RNA (429 nucleotides) under bacterium. RNAcentral describes it as "partial 16S ribosomal RNA". It matches the Rfam family "Bacterial small subunit ribosomal RNA", at positions 355 to 776 of the family's 1533-position model. The record is from RNAcentral.